RNA transcript from Eucalyptus grandis, 646 nucleotides. RefSeq lists it as uncharacterized. Lineage: Eukaryota; Viridiplantae; Streptophyta; Magnoliopsida; Myrtales; Myrtaceae. The transcript has 2 exons. The record is from RefSeq and is a predicted model, not a curated record.
UAAGUUCGGAAAAUGUGAGAAAGAUCAAAACUUCGAAACUCUUGCCGAUGACGAGCUGCGGAAACAGGAGCUUCCUGAGAUAGAUCGCGUGGUGAAGUUGGCUUUGGCUUGUGUGGAUGAAAAGAAGGAGAACCGACCGAAGAUGAGUAAGAUUGUUCGAGACCUCGAAGAUAUUGUCGAAGAUUGUCUCAUCCGUAAGGCGGGAAGAGACCCUGGCCGUGUAGCCUCCACUUCGGCGCCAGCCUAGAAGCGCGGGUCCUAGCCGCCCUACAACCCAAGAUCUGGAGGUGGGAAGGAUUUAAGAGACAGUCAAGUUUCUGCGGAUGCUCUUGAACCUCCUUGUUUUAACGCUUCACCGUGUAUGGCAAGACAGGCAUUUGAUUUUCAAGCAUUGACUUCGAUAAUUUGGUUAUUUGGGAUUUAAGUUUAUUUGGAGUGGAUGGACAGAUGCUACUAUUGUUUGCGGUAGGUUGAAGUGAUUCAUGUCAGGACCCAAAGAUUAUUUUUAAAGUUUGGUAGCAUCGGGUGAAAUCGUAGUCGAUCAAUGCGCUGACGUCUUUGGUCGUGUGCUGAUCUUAGAUGUUUGAUGUUGGUCGAUUUUGUGAUGGCGAUUGCACGUGAAGGUUUUUUUGAAGUCAAGACUAAA